This 156-nucleotide ribosomal RNA is filed under the name Triticum aestivum (bread wheat). RNAcentral describes it as "partial small subunit ribosomal RNA". Lineage: Eukaryota; Viridiplantae; Streptophyta; Magnoliopsida; Poales; Poaceae. The record is from RNAcentral.
AUGGCGGAGACGAAGGAGAGCGCAAAGCUUGAGAGGUUGCGCAGUGCGGUGAGGCAGCAGAAGGGGAAGCUGUACAUCAUCAAGAAAUGCAUCGCCAUGCUCAUCUGCGGCAGCCACAAGUGUGUAUUCUCUUGCACUAGUUCUGCCAUGUUCUGA